This 254-nucleotide ribosomal RNA is filed under the name uncultured bacterium. RNAcentral's name for it is "partial 16S ribosomal RNA". It matches the Rfam family "Bacterial small subunit ribosomal RNA", at positions 524 to 776 of the family's 1533-position model. The record is from RNAcentral.
UACGUAGGCAGCGAGCGUUGUUCGGAAUUACUGGGCGUAAAGAGUGUGUAGGCGGUGUUCCCAGUCUGUUGUGAAAUCUCCCGGCUUAACUGGGAGGGUGCAGCGGAAACUAGAAGUGCUAGAGGGUGGGAGAGGUAAGCGGAAUUCCUGGUGUAGCGGUGAAAUGCGUAGAUAUCAGGAGGAACACCUGUGGUGUAGACAGCUUACUGGACCACUUCUGACGCUGAGACACGAAAGCGUGGGUAGCAAACAGG